AGUGAACGCUGGCGGCAUGCCUAACACAUGCAAGUCGAACGGCAGCACAGUAAGAUCUUGCUCUUACGGGUGGCGAGUGGCGGACGGGUGAGGAAUACAUCGUAAUCUACUCUUUCGUGGGGGAGAACGUAGGGACACUUACGCUAAUACCGCAUACGACCCACGGGUGAAAGCAGCUGAUCUUCGGACCUUUCGCGAUUGAGUGAGCCGAUGUCGGAUUAGCUAGUUGGCUGGGUAAAGGCCCACCAAGGCGACGAUCCGUAGCUGGUCUGAGCGGACGAUCGGCGACCCUAGAGCUGAGCCACGGUCCAGACUCCUAAGGGAGGCAGCAGUCGGGAAUAUUAGGCAAUGGUGGGAAGCCUGAUACAGUCAUACCGAGUCGGUGACGAAGGCCUUCGGGUUGUAAAGACGUUUUGUUGGGAGAGAACCGCUGCCGGUUAAUACGCAGCGGUUCUGACGGUACCUAAAGAAUAAGCACCGGCUAACUACGUG
This 492-nucleotide ribosomal RNA is filed under the name uncultured bacterium. Its description in RNAcentral is "partial 16S ribosomal RNA". It matches the Rfam family "Bacterial small subunit ribosomal RNA", at positions 29 to 507 of the family's 1533-position model. The record is from RNAcentral.